ACGCUUUAAAUAUUUCGACUGCAGUUACCGCUGCAUUGAUGAUAUUAGAUACGUACAUGUUAAACUAGUGCAGUAACUGCAUCAACUAUAUAGUAUAUCAGCAAGGUAACGUACGUAGAAGUAUUAAUGAUCGUGUUAAACUAUAUAUUGACUAUUUGGUGCAGCCGCAACUUUGGAUACACACACACACAAUAAUAGUUUCAACGUUCUAAUCCAAUUUGGAUGAUUUUUGUUUUUUUUUUUUUAUACUAAAAACGUUAGGAGGAUAAGUUUAACAAAAAUAACUGUAGACUGAAGAAGACAGAGGAAAAAAAAAAUGAAAACUAAUACGAAGUGAUAAGAA
This 343-nucleotide long non-coding RNA is filed under the name Capsella rubella. RNAcentral's name for it is "long non-coding RNA (CRUB_LNC003576)". The record is from RNAcentral. Lineage: Eukaryota; Viridiplantae; Streptophyta; Magnoliopsida; Brassicales; Brassicaceae.